AAAUGUAAGAUCAACAUAGUCUGGUCCCGGCCAGAACGGUGUUAAUAAGUGAUUGGCUCAUUGCACAAGUUAUGAAUUUAAAAACCUGGUUCCGUCGCAAGAGCUAGGAAUAACACUGUCAACUGCAGCGAUAAUGCCUGAAAAACGUGUCCAUUUAGUAGCACAAAUACUAGAGUAUGGGGGAGUCCGCUCUAUUCAGGAGGGUUUUCCCUCUGUUGACCAUCGAGUUCGAGGGUUGAAUACUUAGGCUUCGGCUUCUGUUGAAAGCUUUAUCGGUGGCCGGGAAGAUAUGUUUCUAAUCUAUUAGCCAGACUAUUGGGUAAGGUCCAAUUUUCGGCUAUAAUGGAUACAGGGGAUCGGUGUCCGGGGCUGGAGAGAGAGCAAGAGAAACGGCUAUCACAGGUAAGGACGGCAGCAGGCGCGUAAAUUACCCAAUCCUAAUUCAGGGAGGUAGUGACAAGACGUAGCGACUUUGCACCAAAUCCUGUGAAGGUACCACUUAGUGGGGUGAAAUGGAUGGAGACUAAAGCUCUCCUUGAGAAGCAAUUAGAGGACACGUCUGGUGCCAGCACCCGCGGUAAUGCCAGCUCUAAAAGUGUAUAUUAAUACUGUUGUAGUUAAAACGCCCGUAGUUUACCUAAGGGGUUUGAUCACUCAUCUAAACAGGAGAUGUCUUUGUUGUGGUGUCAUUCGUGCCACUGCGCUUAGGCUAUUCUGGGCCUUGGCUCUUACCGCUGGUCAAUUUUUUUGACCAGCUCAAAGGGUAGGUGGGUGCUUCCGGCCUCGAUCCUCUCCAUUUUCUAUGGGGGGGCCUCUGGAACAACCGUAAACAAAUCAGCGUGUUCAAAGCAGGCUAGUGUAUGGGUUUUACCCUUUGCUUGAAUGAUUUAGCAUGGAAUUGUACUGAAGUUGGCGAGGUGUUUCACCAAGCCAGCGGUUGUAAUGAGACACUGGAAGAGGCUCCAAGUACUAUGGCGCGAGAGGUGAAAUUCAGUGACCGCCAUAUGACUAUCUAAUGCGAAAGCAGUUGUAGCCAGUACGUGUCUGUCAAUCAGGGACGAAAGUUGAGGGAUCGAAGAUGAUUAGAUACCGUCGUAGUCUCAACCGUAAACGAUACCAACACGAGAUUGGUAGUGAAACCAUAAUUAGAUCCUAUCAGCAUCCAAGGGAAACCGUUAAGUCUUUGGGUUCUGGGGGGAGUAUGGUCGCAAGGCUGAAACUUAAAGGAAUUGACGGAAAGGCACCACCAGGAGUGGAGUAUGCGGCUUAAUUCGACUCAACGCGGGGAAACUCACCAGGUUAGGAUGUGAAUAUGAUUGAGCGAUUGAAGUUCAUUCUUGAUUUAACAGA
RNAcentral lists this ribosomal RNA (1350 nucleotides) under Vahlkampfia avara. Its description in RNAcentral is "SSU rRNA". It matches the Rfam family "Eukaryotic small subunit ribosomal RNA", at positions 55 to 1274 of the family's 1831-position model. The record is from RNAcentral. Lineage: Eukaryota; Heterolobosea; Eutetramitea; Acrasida; Vahlkampfiidae.